Molecule: RNA transcript, 5146 nt
Organism: Octodon degus (degu)
Lineage: Eukaryota; Metazoa; Chordata; Mammalia; Rodentia; Octodontidae
Gene: Nptx1
Gene name: neuronal pentraxin 1
Exons: 6
Source: RefSeq, a predicted model, not a curated record
CAGCGCGGCGGCGAGGACCGCGGCGCCCAGAGCCCGGGCCGCCCGCGGAGCGACAGCCGAGCCCGGUCCCAGCAGGAGCCGAGCCCCACCCGAGCCGAACCGGGCCCGGCGCGCCAGGUGCCCGCAGCCAUGCUGGCCGGCCGCGCCGCGCGCACCUGUGCGCUCCUCGCCUUCUGCCUCCUGGGCACUGGGGCCCAGGAUUUCGGGCCGACGCGCUUCAUCUGCACCUCGGUGCCCGUGGACGCUGACAUGUGCGCCGCUUCCGUGGCCGCUGGCGGCGCGGAGGAGCUCCGGAGCAACGUGCUGCAGCUCCGGGAAACCGUGCUGCAGCAGAAGGAGACCAUCCUCAGCCAGAAGGAGACCAUCCGCGAGCUGACCACCAAGCUGGGCCGCUGUGAGAGUCAGAGCACCCUGGACGCGGGUCCCGGAGAGACCAGGACAGGCGGCGGCCGCAAGCAGCUCGGCUCUGGCUCCGGCAAGAACACCAUGGGCGACCUGUCCCGGACACCGGCUGCGGAGACACUCAGCCAACUCGGGCAAACUUUGCAGUCGCUCAAAACCCGCCUGGAGAACCUCGAGCAGUACAGCCGCCUCAAUUCCUCUAGCCAGACCAACAGCCUCAAGGAUCUGCUGCAGAGCAAGAUCGAUGACCUGGAGCGGCAGGUGCUGUCUCGGGUGAACACGCUGGAGGAGGGCAAGGGGGGGCCCAAGAACGACACCGAGGAAAGGAUCAAGAUCGAGAGCGCUCUGACCUCCCUGCACCAGCGCAUCAGCGAGUUGGAGAAAGGUCAGAAAGACAACCGCCCAGGAGACAAAUUCCAACUCACAUUCCCGUUGCGAACCAACUACAUGUAUGCCAAGGUGCGGAAGAGCCUUCCGGAGAUGUAUGCCUUCACUGUGUGCAUGUGGCUCAAGUCCAGUGCAGCACCAGGCGUGGGCACACCCUUCUCCUAUGCUGUGCCUGGCCAGGCCAAUGAACUGGUCCUCAUCGAGUGGGGCAACAACCCCAUGGAAAUCCUCAUUAACGACAAGGUGGCCAAGCUCCCCUUUGUGAUCAAUGAUGGAAAGUGGCACCACAUCUGUGUCACCUGGACCACCAGGGAUGGGGUCUGGGAAGCCUACCAGGAUGGCACCCAGGGUGGCAACGGCGAGAACCUGGCUCCCUACCACCCCAUCAAGCCGCAGGGUGUGCUGGUGCUGGGCCAGGAACAGGACACUCUGGGUGGUGGAUUUGACGCCACCCAAGCAUUUGUAGGUGAGCUGGCCCAUUUCAACAUCUGGGACCGCAAGCUGACCCCAGGGGAAGUGUACAACUUGGCCACCUGCAGCGCCAAGGCCCUCUCUGGCAACGUCAUUGCCUGGGCAGAAUCCCAAAUUGAGAUCUACGGUGGAGCCACCAAGUGGACAUUUGAGGCCUGUCGCCAGAUCAACUGACAGCUUCCAGCCAGGGCUGAGCCCCAGGUCCCACACCCGCCCACCCUGCUUGUGUGGUGAUGAUCCAUCGUCUCUUCUUUCCCGUUCCCAGGAAUGAAUCAAGGCCACGGCCCCUGCACACACAUGCACACACAGCCUGGUUUUAUCCUCAUGCACACGAAGCAGUCCUGGCUCUCCUCUGUCCCUGAUGAUACCCCACUUCUUCCUGGGAGUCCCGACUGUUUCCCAGGCCUGCCCUGACCACAGCUGAGCAGGUAGCAGUGAUGUUCUGAACAGUGCAGGGAAGAGAGAGAGAGAGAGAGAGAGAGAGAGAGAGAGAGAGAGAACGUUAUGCACGUGUGUGUGAACUUGAAUAUGUGGCUGGGUGAAGCUUUUCUUUUAGAAUGAGGUAUUUCAUUUCCUCCAUUCUUUGUGGCUUUGGGGAAUCUCAGAAUGGGUCUGAAGUCUGUUUGCCAACUUCAGCCUCUGCCUGUGUGCAGCUCCUUCAGCACAGCAUUUGUCUUCCUUCACAGACCUCUUUCAGAGCCACACAGCUCUCUAUUGACAUCCUAAAUGUCUUUCAGUGGUUUGCUAAGGCUGGGUGGACUUCCCACGGAGGACUUUUAUUUGGCACUAGGGGUGUGUGCUCUGAAGGUUGAGGCUAGCUGUGCUGGGACGAGACACCUGCUAGCUCCCACGCACCUGCUGCAGUGGAGGCAGCUUGGGCCUGGGGACAGCCUACAGAUGUUCUCAGUGGCUCUGUCCCAUCGUUUUAGCCAGCUUCUGAGACAUGUCACACCCUUGUAGCCACUGGUGCUGCCUCUGGCAGUGGGAGACCAGAGGCUUCCAGCAGGGGCCUUCUGGAUGAGGGACCCAUGUGCUGAUUGAGACCCAGCUGCAAAGGCCCUGGGGAACUUCACCUAGCCAUUCCAUGGGAAGGGUAUCCCCAUGGCACUUAUGACAGCCAUAUUCCUCCCAUAUCCCCAGACCCUAGGUGGCCAGGGCUGGCAAACUCCUCCUGUGGAGCCAGGCUUGGCCAGAAUAGGACCUGCUACCCCUCCUCUGGCUCAUGGGCCUUCUGCCUUGCAGCAGCCCCAAACCUGCCACUGGUCCAUGACACUGAUUUGUGUCCAGAAUCUUUGGCUUCUUUUCUCCUUGUGAAAAGCAGCAUGAAUAUUUUCUUCUAGUCUCUUGGAAGAGGGGAGAAAAAGCUGUGUGUGUGUGUGUGUGUGUGUGUGUGUGUGUGUGUGUGUUCACUUCAGAAGUCAUGAGUGUGAACAUUUCAGAAGUCAUGACCAGGAUAAGGUGAGCCCCUGCUUUGUCCUGGAUCUGCCGGGUACACUGAGGACACCCUGGACCCUCUGCCCAGGAGUCUGGCUUGGGAAAGGCUGGCAAGUCUUUCUAGAAAUCCUUUGUGCUGCUGGCUCGUCUGCAGCUGCAGACACCUCUUCAGAGACAGGUUGUGUACCUGCUGUUCCUUACAGGGGCAUCUGUCUCCUCCAGUGCAGGUCCAUGGUGUGUCGGAAACCUAGUGCAUCUGUGUGUGUCUGUGUCGGUGUCUCUGUGUCGCUGUACUCGUGGGUGUCUGCACGGUACAGGUCGCCACUCUGCAAUGCAUCACUCUUGCGAGGGGGUGCGGAUGUGGCACCAUGCUGCGUGUCGUCGUUCAACAGUGGCUUUUUCUUAGGUAAUUGUGCUUCCUCAGUGCCGUCGGGUUGUGGCAUCCUUGGAUCUGCAGGGAUUUUCUCUCUGUUUGCAUGUUCCUUGGGGUGGCGUGUUCCUUGCUCCCUAGUCCAACGUGUGUUCCCCUGCCUGCAUGGACUUUUCCAGUUCUAUGUUGUGUGCCGAGUGCCACCCAGUGUUCUGUGACCACCCAUGUAGCUACCGAAAAUGUCUGGGUAAGCAAGCCAGGGGUGUUGGAGGGGGUUGAGAGAGAGGCCAGCGUCCUUCUCCCCCUCCCCACUCCCCAAACACACCAAGAAACAUCUCAAACAUGUAGGUUGAGAACAAGCCCCAGUGAUACCGUGGUUGGGAGAGAGUGAGAGAGCUUGGAAUCACUUUUCCAGACUGGGUUGAGCCCCACCCAUGUGGGAGCCAUUCUUGGCUCAGCCCAGAGCGCCUGUGCCCAGUGCGCUCCUGCUGGCACCUGCCACCAGCCCCUGCCCCUGCCGAUAUGGACCCCAGACCACCACCACUGCCAGGUGGGAAGGUGGGAGCUGUCCGUUCAGGACCACAAGCCAUCCUCUGCCCUAGAGAGAGGGCAGAGCACACCCCGGAUGCUUAUGCCUAUGACCCUGACCCUCCAGCUUCCUGGCUCGUUCCCCUUCCCCUUCCUUCCACUGCCCCCUGGUGCACCUGUGGUGCUCGGGACAGAAGCUGACAUUUAGCUCCCACCCCACCCCUAACUGGAGUUGGUGCCAAGCCCCUCAACUCCCUCACUGUGUUCAUACUUGGCACUUUGCUGGCCCCAAGAAAGGUAGAUGACAGAGCAGCAAAUCUAAUCCACAUAGUUCCCAUUGACUCCUUAAUCUGAUUGAUGUUCCCUCUUGCACUGAAUAAUACAUGCCUCUCUCAGGUAAGCCAUUUUAUAAAAUAAGAAGAUAAAAAAGCACUGUCAAGACAGUGUUUGCUUUUGCCGAGCUGGUGUCCGACAGCUCCCUGGGGGUCCAGGGUGGGAGAGCUGCCACGGAGGCUCCCCAGACCCUGGGGGGCUUAGAUCCCACUUGAAUCGUAAAGCCUUCUUGCUUUUGAUAACACAGUAUUAUUUCUCUUACUGUAGAAGAAAAAGUUUAUUACCAAACAAGAGUAUUUUUAUGAAAGAAUAGGACAAACCUAUAAAUUAUCUCAACCUAUAUCUCCCUUGAAAACACUUUCAGGCUCCACCAAAAUAUAGGACUGAAAGCGUGUAUUUUGGAAGAAAGAGAUACAUUUUGUAUGCUUUCUUUUCCUUUUGUAGAUUCCCAGUUUAUUUUCUAAUACCACAAAGAUCACUUUGUCACCAGCCCUGGGACCUGAGACCAAGGGGGUGUCUUGUGGGCAGUAAGGGGGAGGGGAGAGGCUGGCAUGAGGUUUGCAGUCUGUCCAGCAAGGGACCAGGAGGCCAGAGAGGCCGCUCUGGGUGGGCCCUUUGUCUGGGAGCUGAUUGGUGAAGUGGAAUGGGUUGAGGAUCUGAGCAUCAGUGCCAACCUGGAUAGAAGCAGCGAGGCUAAGAAGACCAAGGCCUUAGUGUUCUUAUGGCCACCAGUGUGUGGCUUGAAGGAGUCAUGGUUUUGUCUCUUCAAACACAGCAUGUAAAUUUAUUCCGCCAGUGGUGGGAAACACAUCGCUCUUGUGCACAGUGGGCUGAAGUAUGAUUUAUUAAAAGGGAACAUGUCAUUGAGGAGAAAAAAAAGCCCAAUACUUAGAGUCCCAAUUUUGUCUUAUUUGCCAAAAAAAAGAGCAAACCCCCUAAAGUUGAUAUUGUUAUAAUGUAUAUACUGUAAAAUAUGAAAGAGAAUCGAUGUACCUUACUUUUUCAUUAUUUGCUAACCAAAGCUGUACAUUUUUCAUACAAUCUGCAGCCUUUUGGGUAUCAAAUGGGUCAAAACCAUGGGACCUGCCACCUCCCAUCAGCAAUUCUGGAAAUGCACUAUUUCUACUGGUAUUCUUGCUUUCCUUUUUCUUUUUUCAUUUUCUUGCUGAAAUGACAUGAAUUGUUGAGUUUAUUUUUACACAGUAAAGAGUGAAGAAAGAC